GACGAACGCUGGCGGCGUGCUUAACACAUGCAAGUCGAACGGAAAGGCCUCUUUCGGGGGGUACUCGAGUGGCGAACGGGUGAGUAACACGUGAGUAACCUGCCCUUGACUUUGGGAUAACUUUAGGAAACUGGGGCUAAUACCGGAUAGGAGCUCCUGCUGCAUGGUGGGGGUUGGAAAGUUUCGGCGGUUGGGGAUGGACUCGCGGCUUAUCAGCUUGUUGGUGGGGUAGUGGCUUACCAAGGCUUUGACGGGUAGCCGGCCUGAGAGGGUGACCGGCCACAUUGGGACUGAGAUACGGCCCAGACUCCUACGGGAGGCAGCAGUGGGGAAUAUUGCACAAGGGGUGGAAGCCUGAUGCAGCAACGCCGUGUGCGGGAUGACGGCCUUCGGGUUGUAAACCGCUUUCGCUCAUGACGAAGCUUUGUGUGACGGUAGUGGGUAAAGAAGCACCGGCUAACUACGUG
Molecule: ribosomal RNA, 467 nt
Filed under: uncultured bacterium
Lineage: Bacteria
Description: partial 16S ribosomal RNA
Rfam family: Bacterial small subunit ribosomal RNA
Source: RNAcentral